CCCUUAGAUGUUCUGGGCCGCACGCGUGCUACACUGAGUGGAUCAGCGGGUCAGGUUGCGCGAAAGUGUUUCCUAAUCUUGAAAUCCGCUCGUGAUGGGGAUUGACGGUUGCAAUUUUCCGUCAUGAACGAGGAAUACCUUGUAAGCGCGGGUCAUCAUCCCGCGCUGAAUACGUCCCUGCCCUUUGUACACACCGCCCGUCGCUCCUACCGAUUGAGUGCUCAGGUGAAUAAUUCGGACUGCAGCAAUGUUUGGAUCCCGAACGUUGCAGCGGAAAGUUUAGUGAACCUUAUCACUUAGAGGAAGGAGAAGUCGUAACA
This 320-nucleotide ribosomal RNA is filed under the name uncultured eukaryote. Its description in RNAcentral is "partial 18S ribosomal RNA". It matches the Rfam family "Eukaryotic small subunit ribosomal RNA", at positions 1470 to 1796 of the family's 1831-position model. The record is from RNAcentral.